GAUGAACGCUGGCGGCGUGCUUAACACAUGCAAGUCGAACGGAAAGGCUCCUGCUUGCAGGGGUACUCGAGUGGCGAACGGGUGAGUAACACGUGGGUGAUCUGCCCUGCACUUCGGGAUAAGCCUGGGAAACUGGGUCUAAUACCGGAUAGGACGAUGGUUUGGAUGCCAUUGUGGAAAGUUUUUUCGGUGUGGGAUGAGCUCGCGGCCUAUCAGCUUGUUGGUGGGGUAAUGGCCUACCAAGGCGUCGACGGGUAGCCGGCCUGAGAGGGUGUACGGCCACAUUGGGACUAAGAUACGGCCCAGACUCCUACGGGAGGCAGCAGUGGGGAAUAUUGCACAAUGGGGGCAAGCCUGAUGCAGCGACGCCGCGUGGGGGAUGACGGCCUUCGGGUUGUAAACACCUUUCGCUAGGGACGAAGCGCAAGUGACGGUACCUGGAGAAGAAGCACCGGCUAACUACGUG
RNAcentral lists this ribosomal RNA (466 nucleotides) under uncultured bacterium. Its description in RNAcentral is "partial 16S ribosomal RNA". It matches the Rfam family "Bacterial small subunit ribosomal RNA", at positions 28 to 507 of the family's 1533-position model. The record is from RNAcentral.